UGGGGAAUAUUGGACAAUGGGCGAAAGCCUGAUCCAGCCAUGCCGCGUGUGAAGAAGGUCUUCGGAUUGUAAAGCACUUUAAGUUGGGAGGAAGGGCAGUAAGCGAAUACCUUGCUGUUUUGACGUUACCGACAGAAUAAGCACCGGCUAUCUCUGUGCCAGCAGCCGCGGUAAUACAGAGGGUGCAAGCGUUAAUCGGAAUUACUGGGCGUAAAGCGCGCGUAGGUGGUUCGUUAAGUUGAAUGUGAAAGCCCCGGGCUCAACCUGGGAACUGCAUCCAAAACUGGCGAGCUAGAGUAGGGCAGAGGGUGGUGGAAUUUCCUGUGUAGCGGUGAAAUGCGUAGAUAUAGGAAGGAACACCAGUGGCGAAGGCGACCACCUGGGCUCAUACUGACACUGAGGUGCGAAAGCGUGGGGAGCAAACAGG
This 427-nucleotide ribosomal RNA is filed under the name Pseudomonadota bacterium. Its description in RNAcentral is "Proteobacteria bacterium partial 16S ribosomal RNA". It matches the Rfam family "Bacterial small subunit ribosomal RNA", at positions 355 to 776 of the family's 1533-position model. Lineage: Bacteria; Pseudomonadati; Pseudomonadota. The record is from RNAcentral.